This 572-nucleotide long non-coding RNA is filed under the name Coffea arabica (coffee). RNAcentral's name for it is "long non-coding RNA (CARA_LNC004016)". The record is from RNAcentral. Lineage: Eukaryota; Viridiplantae; Streptophyta; Magnoliopsida; Gentianales; Rubiaceae.
GCAACAAACAAAUUGAGGUGCACAAGUAAGAGGAGCGAAAGAAGAAGAUGAUAUUCGGAACUUCUUUGUUUCUACUCGGUUUUGCAGAUUGGAGACUGGUAGGUUUCUGUGAUCUUGUGAUACAUUCUGUCGAGCACUAAACAGAUGAAAACCAAAAUCUAAUUAAGAGAGAUUCUUGUGCAUUCAUGGGCUGUGUCACUUUCAAUAAGGACAAAUAAUAGGCAAGCCCCGUGAUACUUUGUUCGCUCCUUUUCUUUCUGUCUAAAUUCUAAAAGAGCGCAUCCACUGAUGACAACUACACAGAAAAUUCAACUUCCGCCCUCUUCACUUUUCAGGUGACCAUACGAUACGGACCAUGAGAAGAAAGUGAGUGGCAAAGUCACGGUCCAACAUUAAUUUUCUGCAAAUGUUUGGGUAGGAAAGUAACAAUGGAAAAUUCAGAAUAGCCCGUGGUGCUUCAAUUGUAUGAGAUGUGAUGCAAUACCAAGUAACUGCAAGCUUCCAAAAUGAUUAGCUCGUCGUGUUUUUUGCCUUCAGAACUACUAAAAUAUGGCUCCUGAAAGGUAACUAAC